UAGGGUUUGAUUAUGGUUCAGAAUGAACGCUGUCGGCACGCUUAACACAUGCAAGUCGAACGAGAUCUUCGGAUCUAUUGGCAGACGGGUGAGUAACGAGUGGGAACCUACCCUUUAGUAGAGAAUAACUCGGGGAAGCAAGAGGUAAUAAUUUAUACGCCCUUCGGGGGAAAGAAAGAUGCGUUAUUGGAUGGGCCCGUGUUAGAUUAGUUUGUUGGUGAGGUAAUGGCUCACCAAGGCUACGAUCUAUAGCUGGUCUGAGAGGAUGUUCUGCCACACUGGGAUUGAGACACGGCCCAGACUCUUAUGGGGGACAGCAGAGGGGAAAAUUGUACAAAAGGGGCAAACCCGAUACAGAGACAUCGCGUGAGUGAGAAAGGCCCUAGGGUUGUAAAAAUCAUUUUUCAGGGAAGAUAAAUACGGUACCUGAAGAAUAAGAUCCGGCUAACUCCGUGCCAGCCGCCGCGGUAAUACAA
This 476-nucleotide ribosomal RNA is filed under the name uncultured Pelagibacterales bacterium. RNAcentral describes it as "bacterial SSU rRNA". It matches the Rfam family "Bacterial small subunit ribosomal RNA", at positions 1 to 528 of the family's 1533-position model. The record is from RNAcentral. Lineage: Bacteria; Pseudomonadati; Pseudomonadota; Alphaproteobacteria; Candidatus Pelagibacterales.